Molecule: non-coding RNA, 119 nt
Organism: Chelonoidis abingdonii (Abingdon island giant tortoise)
Lineage: Eukaryota; Metazoa; Chordata; Testudines; Testudinidae
Source: RefSeq, a predicted model, not a curated record
CAGCAGGCGGUACUUGGUGGAGGACAAACAGAGGAGCGGGUUCCUGAAGCAACCUUGAGAUCUCGGCUGCCCAUGUUAUCAAUGUCUCAAAGACUACAAAACCUCCGGAAGAAGCCGUG